RNAcentral lists this ribosomal RNA (340 nucleotides) under Staphylococcus saprophyticus. RNAcentral's name for it is "bacterial SSU rRNA". It matches the Rfam family "Bacterial small subunit ribosomal RNA", at positions 565 to 903 of the family's 1533-position model. Lineage: Bacteria; Bacillati; Bacillota; Bacilli; Caryophanales; Staphylococcaceae. The record is from RNAcentral.
GCGCGCGUAGGCGGUUUCUUAAGUCUGAUGUGAAAGCCCACGGCUCAACCGUGGAGGGUCAUUGGAAACUGGGAAACUUGAGUGCAGAAGAGGAAAGUGGAAUUCCAUGUGUAGCGGUGAAAUGCGCAGAGAUAUGGAGGAACACCAGUGGCGAAGGCGACUUUCUGGUCUGUAACUGACGCUGAUGUGCGAAAGCGUGGGGAUCAAACAGGAUUAGAUACCCUGGUAGUCCACGCCGUAAACGAUGAGUGCUAAGUGUUAGGGGGUUUCCGCCCCUUAGUGCUGCAGCUAACGCAUUAAGCACUCCGCCUGGGGAGUACGACCGCAAGGUUGAAACUCA